GGGCGGGGGCGGGGCGGCUGGGUCCAGCCCCAGGCCUUCACCCCCCUUCUCUCCGGCCUGUGCCCCCGCUACCUACCCCAGAGCUGGCACCUGGCCCAGCCCUAAGUGGGCAGCACAGGGUAGAGAGUGUGGCUGCCAGCAAGCCAGGAGGGACUUGGGGCCCUAGGGCCUGGGAGAGGUAUCUCUCCCACAUCAUGAAGGACCCCCAGCCUUUCCCCCUUGAAGCCCCAGGUCCUUGGGGGGCCUCAUUCACCAGUGUAUCCCCGAGCUCAGCAUGGAGCCUGCCAAACAGUGAGGGCUCAAGUCCAGUCAAUGUUUGCUGAAAGAAUGAUCCAGCCCAAUUUCACAGCGACAGAUAGGGACACUGAGGCCCAGAGAGGGGGUGGGGUCAUCUCAGGUCAUUCAGAGCACUAGGUUUAGGGGACAGACUGACUAGAUGCACCCAGGGGCGGGUAACAGUUUAGGAUGCAGAAAAGAGCCCAGGCGCCCCUGCCUCCAGCUCCUCUACCUCUCCUUUCCUCCUGCACACCCACUGCCAUCCUCGGCUCUGGCCCCUGCAAGGAAUGUCGUGGCUGCUGGCCUCUUCCGGAGGGAGAAAUUGAGGCUCAUAGACACCAAGCAACUUGCUCCAGACACCCAGUCAGUGAGAGUUCUGUGACUGAAUCCACGACAUAUGCCCUUCUCGAUACUUCUUCCUGCCUCUUGGUGUCUGAAGCUAUUGCCCUGGAAAUCCCACUGUGAGAGCCAGAUCUGAACAGGAGCAAAGGUCACUUGUGCCAAGAUGUCUAUGGAGCGAUAUUUAAACUGGCAUAAUAAAGAUGUCCCAAGGA
Canis lupus familiaris (dog) is the source of this 830-nucleotide long non-coding RNA. RefSeq lists it as uncharacterized. The record is from RefSeq and is a predicted model, not a curated record. NCBI's taxonomy places the organism in Eukaryota, Metazoa, Chordata, Mammalia, Carnivora, Canidae. The transcript has 2 exons.